RNAcentral lists this ribosomal RNA (274 nucleotides) under uncultured Alphaproteobacteria bacterium. Its description in RNAcentral is "partial 16S ribosomal RNA". It matches the Rfam family "Bacterial small subunit ribosomal RNA", at positions 39 to 324 of the family's 1533-position model. The record is from RNAcentral. Lineage: Bacteria; Pseudomonadati; Pseudomonadota; Alphaproteobacteria.
UCCGCCCNUGUGGGCCGCGGCCGUUUACACAUGCAACCGUCGAACGAAGUAGCAAUACUUAGUGGCAGACGGGUGAGUAACAUGUGGGUAUCUACCCUUUGGCCUGGAAUAACACGAGGAAACUUGUGCUAAUACUGGAUAAGUCUUUACAGAGAAAGCUUUAUGCACCAUUGGAUGAGCCCGCACUUGAUUAGUUUGUUGGUAGGGUAAUGGCCUACCAAGACUAUGAUCAAUAGCUGAUUUGAGAGGAUGAUCAGCCACAUUGGGACUGAGA